CCUACGGGAGGCAGCAGUGGGGAAUAUUGGGCAAUGGGCGCAAGCCUGACCCAGCAACGCCGCGUGAAGGAAGAAGGCUUUCGGGUUGUAAACUUCUUUUAUUGAGGACGAAACAAAUGACAUUACUCAAUGAAUAAGCCACGGCUAACUACGUGCCAGCAGCCGCGUUAAUCCGUAGGUGGCAAGCGUUAUCCGCAUUUACUGGGUGAAAAGGCCGUGGAGGCGGGACUGCAAGUCAGAUGUGAAACCCAUGGGCUCAACCCAUGGACUGCAUUUGAAACUGUAGUUCUUGAGUGCUGGAGAGGCAGGCGGAAUUCCGGGUGUAGCGGUGAAAGGCGUAGAUAUACGGAGGAAAACCAGUGGCGAAGGCGGCAUGCUGGACAUUAACUGACGCUGGGGCGCGAAAGCGUGGGGAGCAAAAAGGAUUAGAUACCCUGUAGUC
Molecule: ribosomal RNA, 442 nt
Filed under: uncultured bacterium
Lineage: Bacteria
Description: partial 16S ribosomal RNA
Rfam family: Bacterial small subunit ribosomal RNA
Source: RNAcentral